AUGCUAUGUUCUGUUGCUGAAUCAAAGUUCAUCACUAUGCUAAGUUUAAAAGCUCUCUCCCUUAGCUGGAAUUGUCUUAUGAAGUUAAAUUGCUCACUACCUUAUUUCAUUUUAAAACUUACUUUUCUCGCUAAUUGUCGUAUAAUAAUUUCCUUCAUUGAAUGUAGUACAUUGAAUAAAUUUAAAGAAUUAUGGUACAACCACCUGAACUGGUAUGCCUCUGUUCUAGCCAUCAUGCAGAUUUACUUGCACACUAUUCUGUUUCUACUUUUCAAGUGCCAGCAUUGUACUCCCUAUUAA
RNAcentral lists this ribosomal RNA (300 nucleotides) under Triticum aestivum (bread wheat). Its description in RNAcentral is "partial small subunit ribosomal RNA". The record is from RNAcentral. Lineage: Eukaryota; Viridiplantae; Streptophyta; Magnoliopsida; Poales; Poaceae.